CUCUGCUGGAGAGGUGGUUGCCUGCAAAACCGGAUGAAGGCAGUGCUGUCAGGGCUUGGUGCUCUGUGAACAGCCACCUGGGGUCUGCACGUGUCUUCUGCCUCCACCCACCCCCGCUCAAACCCCCUUCCUAGCACCUCCCUCUCUGCAAGGUUCCGGAGUGGCCACCCACAGAGCAGCUCUGGGCUGGGCGCUGAGUCAUGAGGCUGUGGUGCCUGCCAGGGGGGAUGCCCGUUCCUGCUGGGGUAGCCAGCUGUGACCAGGUCAGUGUGGAUAGUGAGCCCUGGGAGACCUGAGGCCCUGGGCUUCCGCUUGACCUGGCUGGGUCAGCCGUGGGAGGCAGAGCCUGGCUCUGUUUAUCCAGGCCGGACACUUCCGGAGCAGAUGGGCGCCUGUCAGAGCCACCAGCCAGGAACUGGGCUGAUGUCCUCUCAUUGCCAAGUAGCAGUUCUGGGGCCAGCAUUGCACUCAAGGUGUCAACAAGGCUCCCAUCAGAGGUCCUGACGGAGGGUCUGUUCCAGGCCACGCUCCUGGCUUCCGGUGGUUGCCAGCAACCCUGUGCGUUCCCUGCUUAUAGAGAUGGAGUCUUGCUCUAUCGCCCAGGCAGGAGUGCAGUGGCACGAUCUUGGCUCACUGGAACCUCCGCCUCCCAGGUUCAAAUGAUUCUCCUGUCUCGGCUUCCCGAGUAGCUGGGACUACAGGCGCCCGCCACCGUGCCUGGCUAACUUUUUGUAUUUUUAGUAGAGAUGAGGUUUCACCGUGUUAGCCAGGAUGGUCUCCAUCUCCUGACCUCGUGAUCCACCCACCUCAGCCUCCCAAAGUGCUGGGAUUACAGGCGUGAGCCACCGCACCCAGCCUCUCCUCUCUUCUUGUAAGGACUCCAGUCAUACUGGAUUAAGGGCCCACCCCACUCAGUAUAACCUCAAAUUAAUCACGUCUGCAAUGCCCUAUUUCCACAUAAGGUCACAUUCUGAGGUUUGGGGAAGGACAUGAAUGUUGGGGGGAUACUGUUCCACCCAGGACACUUGGGUUGCCCAUCUGCCUCACUCUUUCUCUCAUCUUCAGCUUUUCCUCCCUCUUGCUCUGCCAUUUAGAGAGAGGACACCCCGUACCCAGGCCUGAGCUUUCAGGGAGGGUGAGGCCACCAUUUUCCCAAGAGCUGGCUGACUCCCAAGCAUUCGACUGUAAAUUAGAAAACCCAUUAAGAGGCAAUCAAUGUACAACUUGGUUUUUAUCCUGUAUAGAGUAUCAGAGGCCUUUGGGAAUUGAAAGGAAAGCUUUGAACUCCCACCCAGGGUAAACGUACAUGUGAACACGCACAGCUCUCAGUGGUGACACAGCCUUUCCAAUGCCUGUUUGUCCUGGUACUCCAGAGAGGGCCUUCUCCGGGCCAAGGAAUUUCUGUCUGGAGCAAAAGGAGGCCCCAAUGCCUCAGCACUGUGCUGCCUGUGAGGUCAGGGGUUGCCAUGCUGGGCGAGGACUGGGAAGGGUUUCCUUAAAUCAGACCAGCGUCAGUGUGUGUGUGCAGUCACAGGGUAGGCAAUGGAAAGCGGGUGGUGGAGGUAUUCAGGAAAAGGGUGGGGUGCUCUGCUGUGGUGUUAAAAUGUUUUUUUUUCUUGCCCCUGUAACCACUGCCCUCCAGAUAUUGUUGAAAAGAGGCCCAGAGCCUGAUACUGGAUCUCCGAGCAUUUAAAGCAGAGGAUCUCAGAUGUGUUAUUAAAGGGAAGGAGUAGGGAGUUGCCCAGCAUAACCUCCUCCCAUUAGCCUCUUUAUAUAAAAGCACCCAGACUCUGUCCUUCUGUGUGUACAUAUAAAUGUCCCUAAAGGUCUUGAAGGGUAAACAUCAAGAAGGUACCAGUGGCUGCUUCUGGACAGGAUCUAGCAUUGAGGGCAUCAAGGAAGGACUUUUCCUUGUUGCUACCUCUGUUUUGGUGUGGCUUGAAUGUUUCCAAUGAAAGUGGAUUCAAAUAAUAA
Molecule: long non-coding RNA, 1974 nt
Organism: Symphalangus syndactylus (siamang)
Lineage: Eukaryota; Metazoa; Chordata; Mammalia; Primates; Hylobatidae
Source: RefSeq, a predicted model, not a curated record